AAAGGGGGCUUCGGCCCCUGAUUAAAGCGGCGGACGGGUGAGUAACACGUGGGUUAUCUGCCCUCGGGUGGGGAAUAACUCAGGGAAACCUGGGCUAAUUCCGCAUGAUAUCUCUUUCCUAUACGGGUUUGAGAUCAAAGCUGGGGACCCUUCGGGGCCUGGCGCCUGAGGAGGAGCCCGCGGCCAAUUAGCUUGUUGGUGAGGUAAUGGCUCACCAAGGCUACGAUUGGUAGCCGGCCUGAGAGGGCGGACGGCCACACUGGGACUGAGACACGGCCCAGACUCCUACGGGAGGCAGCAGUGGGGAAUUUUUGUCCAUGGGGGAAACCCUGAACAAGCAACGCCGCGUGAAGGACGACGACCUUCGGGUUGUAAACUUCUGUCGGAGGGGACGAAAGCGGUUGAGGUUAAUACCCUUGAUUGUUGACGGUACCUUACGAGGAAGCCCCGGCUAACUCCGUGCCAGCAGCCGCGGUAAUACGGGGGGGGCAAGCGUUGUUCGGAAUUACUGGGCGUAAAGGGCGCGCAGGCGGGCGAGACAGUCUCUCGUGAAAUCCCACGGCUCAACCGUGGAAUUGCGGGAGAUACUACUCGUCUUGAGUCCGGGAGAGGAGAGCGGAAUUCCCAGUGUAGCGGUGAAAUGCGUAGAUAUUGGGAGGAACACCAGUGGCGAAGGCGGCUCUCUGGACCGGUACUGACGCUGAGGCGCGAAAGCUAGGGGAGCAAACGGGAUUAGAUACCCCGGUAGUCCUAGCCGUAAACGUUGAGCACUUGGUGUAGCGGGUAUCGACCCCUGCUGUGCC
This 803-nucleotide ribosomal RNA is filed under the name uncultured bacterium. RNAcentral's name for it is "bacterial SSU rRNA". It matches the Rfam family "Bacterial small subunit ribosomal RNA", at positions 70 to 847 of the family's 1533-position model. The record is from RNAcentral.